CUUAUUGAGAGCGGCGGAGGGAAUAGGCCCAAUGAAGCCCGGCAACCGGUUGAAUUCGGUGCUAAAUCCUACGGCUCUGGCCGGCAGAUGAG
This 92-nucleotide non-coding RNA is filed under the name human gut metagenome. Its description in RNAcentral is "SAM riboswitch (S box leader)". It matches the Rfam family "SAM riboswitch aptamer (S box leader)". Rfam says of the family: The SAM riboswitch is found upstream of a number of genes which code for proteins involved in methionine or cysteine biosynthesis in Gram-positive bacteria. The SAM riboswitch acts at the level of transcription termination control. The predicted structure consists of a complex stem-loop region followed by a single stem loop terminator region. The record is from RNAcentral. RNAcentral also lists the same sequence under 1 other name.